GAUUCCUGACAACACUGUUGGCUUCCCGGAGACUCCUUCAUCCUGCAGAAGAUGCAAUUCCACGGGGUCCUGAGAGAUUGGACAUGGGUGGGAUGUGGCAGUCCUCAUGGAAGACUCUUGAACAAGUGUCGCAACAGAACAGCUCCCCUCCGUCCCGGCACACCUCACACUCAUCCAAGUUUCUCAUCUAGAAGACAUCUGGCUGUGGGCUGUGAGACAUAAACCUCCAUGUCAAGCUCAUACAAAAUCAGCCACGCAAACACUGACCUCCAGGGCUGUUUUAACCAUUCGUGAGUCCCUGAGUUGGCCGGGCAUCAAAAUCAGUGUGGAAAAGACCUAAAUCUGAUUGGAGGACUGCUUUGGAGGUUCUCAUUCACACCCAGUCUUCGAAAAACCAUCACCUUGUCCUGAAUCUACACUGCACUUAACCUAUUUGUUUGUUGCGUUCUUAAGUGAAGGAAAAAUCACUUUCACAGAUAAAAAGCAGGUCUGCACAGUCCCUCUGGUAGAACCAAAGAGGUG
Molecule: long non-coding RNA, 522 nt
Organism: Homo sapiens (human)
Lineage: Eukaryota; Metazoa; Chordata; Mammalia; Primates; Hominidae
Exons: 4
Source: RefSeq, a predicted model, not a curated record